GGGAGGGAGGGAAGGAGGGUAGGUGGGUGGGAGGUUAGAGGGUUUAAAGGUAGAACUGAGAGGAUAAGAACGAUAAGGAGGAGGAAUUGGAGAUAUAACAGGAGUGGAAGGUGGUGGAGGUGCGGAGUAAAGCGAAAGAAUGGACAAUUGAUAGAGGCAGCUGGAGGAGAUGUGAACGGCCAAAGCGAGAGAAAAGGAAAUUUAGUGAAGAAUAGGAAGGUGAAGCGAGACAGUAGCAGUCAGAGGAUAGAGCUGGAGGGAUCGAGAGGUUAUACUGGAUGAAAGCAAUCAAUAAGAGAGUAGGGACUGGGAGACGUGUAUGCCUGUGUGUGUGUGUGUGUGUGUGUGUGUGUGUGUCUCAGUCGAUGAAGCCCAUCUCGAGCAUAUCUCUGUCACCUGGAGAGUCUUUAAUAAAGUCUCCAUGUUGGGGGUUUCAUUCGCUCCCAGAGGGGACAGCAUCUCUCUACAUGAGCCGUCUCGCACCUGACCAACAGAAAGUAAAAUGGGCUACGAGAGCAGGCGCACACCCCCAUGUGUCAGCUGUACGUGUGUGCGUGUUUGUUUAAACCCGUGAGUGCAGAUUUUAAGAGUAGAAGAGGGAAUCAAGAGAGGACUGUUGGUGUUACUGUAUGUGGUUAAUUUGCUUCGAUAAGCCAUUUUAUAUCUCAGUCAAGUUAUUUCUUUCACAGACACCAAAAAAAAUGGAAUCACAAGAAACACUCACUGUCCUUGAGAGUUAAAGUCGAAUUAUCAAGAACGUCUAAUAAAAAAAUAAUAAUAAAACUACUUAAAUGUAAGAAAUGUUUGUCUUUUUCUCCUCCUUGACAAAAAAAGGACUUUUCUAAGUUCCUACUGGAGUUUUCUGACAUAUUUUAUGGUUUAAUUCAGGAAUAAUCAAUCAGUUAUCUGUGAACACAAUCCUGCUGGCUACAAGUUUGGUCUCAACCCACAGUAGUAUUGAAAGUCUUGAGGUACAGAUCCACUAGCUGUGACCAAUACACCUGGAGUUGCACCAUCAUCCACUCAUCAUAAAUUAAUAAAUCAGAAAUCUGCAUGUGUCCAGAUAAUCUAAAUUUUACAGUUAGACAAUAUCAGUAUAAAGACAUUCAUUCACAAAUGCUGCGGUAGGCUGAGACAGCUGCAGAAAAUCACCACUGUAAUGUUUUUGUAUUUGCAUUUUGCACAUAAAAUUCCUGCUAACCAAAAUAUGGUCCAAUAUAAAUGAAGUAAAACCAAAUUCACCCCAAAGCCCAAAGGAGCAAAUCUUACAGUAACAGUUUCAAGGCUAACCUAAACAGACACAGUACAUGGUGCAAUAACCUAGCAGAUCCAAACCCUCUCUGUUACCGUUUCUCAUUAUUACCAAAAAGGACGUGCUCACCAUUUGUACCUAAUUGCUUUGGCAGUAUUGUUUCUGUGCUUUCAGUCCAAUUGAGCUCAUUAAACUGGAACAGUGUUGGUUUGUGAGCGUGCGGCAUGGUGGACUGAAACCGCCCGCUUCAUUGGUAUUCUGCACCUAUCUGCCCCACAGACCCAUCAGAGAUCCAACAAGUACAAAAAAAAAUGGACCAUUAGGAAGCAAUGAGUCCUCUGCUGUAGAGCGAAAACACACACACACACACACACACACAAACCUUUCUUUAAGAUUCCACAGAUGAAACAGCGCGACAUACAGUAAGCCAAUUAGCUACUACACCAUUAUGUUCAAUAUCAAGUUAGCAGGAAGGAGGUCAUUAAGUGAACGUGUGGACUUAAGUGUUAAACGGAGUCCAAUAUUUGUUUUCAGGUUGUGUUUGUAGAGGAGAAAAACAAAAGAAAAACAACAAAAUACAUGUUUGGUCAAAAAAUUAUUUUCUCUUGAGUUGUUGUCUUGGGGGAUCUGGCUGUAAUUUUAGCAAAAUUAAAUGAUUUGGAAACUCAAAUGAGAUCCCAGCAGACUGCCAGGAAAAAAAAUCAAUCGAAUGGUCGGAGCUGUGGUGAAGCAGAAAGCGCACACACACAGCUCUGUCCACACAUUCAUACUGCCACACACACACACACACACACACACAUUUCUGAAAACGCCGAGGCUAAAAACUACCUCACACACAUUCUUCACACCCUGGUGUAUCCUUCAAGAACAAUUACAGGCAGUCUUUCUGGGCAGAGAGCCUCCGUCCUUUCAGGUGUUCAGGUGUUCAGGGAGGGAGAAAUUCGAGAGAACAGGUGUGUGCUUUGAAUAGUUUUACUAUUUCUUACAAGUAACUUCAGUGGGAAAUGGCCGGAUUAACAUUCAACCAAAAAACUUAGAGAAAGUUUUUGAAAGGAGUACGAUCAAAACCUUCUUCCUCUUUCUUAUCUGGGUGUUAAAACUCGAAAGUCUCGAUGAGCCAGAGCUAAAAAAUGGAACUACAGUGAAACAGUUCUGUUGCUGAAUGCUGAAGCUGGGUGGUGAUUAGCCUAGCUUAGCGUAAAGACAGGAAGCAGGGGAACAGGUAGUUGACAAAAUACCUGCUAACACCUCUAAAGCUCACUUAGUAUAAUAAUGGGCUGUUGCCAUUUCUUAACAAAAGCAGUUUAUCCAUUUACCCGGAAACUCUGUUCUGUUGUUUUUGGAGUCUGGAAAAAUGGCUGAAUGGAUAGUUGACCUUUCUUGUGUGCUUAUGCAGCGAGGAAAGAGCGGAGCUUGAACCUCGCUGGUUCUCUAAUUUUUUUCUUGACAGACCUUCACUUUCGGUUCGAAUAUCCAGCUGCAUAUGGUAUAAACUCGUCCUGAUGAAGUAAACUCCGACACUCAGGCUGUAAAAUCUCACAGCAAGGAGGUUCAUUCAGAUUAUCGGAUCAUGCACAUCCCAACUUUCUGUUUUUAUUUCUUUUUAUUCAAUAUUGUACUCGCUCUAUAUACUAUAUACAUUUGCAGCCCUACUGCAAGCAUUGUGCAAUAUGACAACCUUCCCUAAAGAGUGCCCAACAGGAAUGGUGUUGGUGUUGAAGUCUGUCAAGAUAAGGCCUGACCAGGAUGUCCCCACAUAAGGGGUUUCAGUGUGACCUCCUUGUUCCUAUUCAGACACAUUGAAAAGUUCUCUCUGUGCUAAAUCUACCUCCUUAAAAUGUUCUCUUUCUCUUGUUUGGUCGUCUUCCUUCACCUUCAAGGUGACCAGUUGUCCCGAUUUCCAGGGACAGUCCCUGUAUUGGAUGACCCGUCCCCGGCUAAAGCCGUCCCUGGAAAUGUCCCAGAUUUAAGCGGUUCAUGAAUGAGAACUAAAAUGUUGCAUGUAGACUAAACAACGGUUAUUACGGCAGCCGAGUAGGUAGGAAGCACAAACGGCUUCACUACAGAACGGUGGCAAUUUUCCCCAUUCGCCAAUUCCAACAGGAUGGGUUUGUGAGGCGAAUUUUGUGGUGGAUUUCGGACAGCAGGAAUCGCAAGAACUCACAAGAAGCCACAGAUUUACAUGCAAUUGUGCAGUAACGGGUUGUCUGUAUAAAGACAGCCACAGUCCCCAUAUUGAAUGACCUGUCCCCGGCUAAAGCCAUCCACGGAAAUGUCCCAGAUUUAAGCAUUUUAUGAAUGAGAACAAAAUGUUGCGUGUAGACUAGAACAAUGGUUAUUACGGCAGCCAAGUAGGUAGGAAGCACAAAUGGCUUCACUACAGAACGGCAGCAAUUUUCCCCAUUUGCCAAUUCCAACAGGAUGGGUUUGUGAGGCGAAUUUUGUGGUGGAUUUCGGACAGCAGGAAUCACAAGAACUCACAAGAAGCCGCGGAUUUACAUGCAAUUGUGCAGUAACGGGUUGUCUCUAUAAAGACAGCCACAUAACCAUAUAAGCAGUAUAUGCGCUGCUACAAAGUAGUAGCUAGAUGUUUUCUGUGUUCAGGCACCCAAUGACCCCUUUGGGUUAUUUAAAUUAGUUAUUUAAGUUAUUUAAAAAGCCAGCAUAAAUAAGUAUGUUUUUAAUCGAGAUUCAAAGAGGCCAAGGUCGGAAAUAAGUCUCAUUUCGUUGGGGAGCUUAUUCCAGAGUCGCAACUGAAAAGGUUCGGUCACCCUAAUACUUGAGUUUUGACCUCGGCACCUCCAGCAGAAGUUGAUUUGACAACCUCAGAGCUCUAUCCUGCUCCCGACCGGUUAAAAGCUCAGUUAAAUAGAUGGGGGCAAGGCCGUUAGGAGGUUUAAAAUCAAACAUUACAUUCAUUACAGAAAUCUGGUCACCUUAUCCACCCUCCUUCUUCACCUUAUCCACCCUCAAUCUUUUCCUACGGGGAUCCUCCUCUCCCUCCUGUCCUCUACCACCCCGCCCCCACCCCUUCCAACCCUGUCAUCUAUCUCCCAUCCUCCUCAAAACUUUCACAACUCCGAUUUCCCUUCUCUGUCUUUGCUCCCCCCUCUCUCCUCUGUCUCUUCAAAGUCAUCUCAGGCUUUGCUGUCAUUGCGCUGAGAAUUACACAUCGCUCAAAGCUGUAACAUCUGACAAAACGCUGCUCACUGACAUUGUCGGUAGUAGCACGUCGUCUGAUAGAGAAAGUUCACUCAAGCAGCCAUCCUAUUAUCCAACCAGUCGCACACACACGCAUACACACACACGCAGGAACUGUACCUACACUUUGACAGUUGUAGAUACAUCCUAUUUACCUUGUGGCGGCCUCCCGAAGGGACAGCGACAACCACACAGUUUCGCAACUCCAAAUAGCAAACACAAGCAAGCGUGCAAAGCAAUCGAAACACACUAUUCUCCUCUUCCUCCCUCCCACUCUGCAUUAAGUGCAUUCGAGUGGCUGGUAACAGUCACAGCGUCAGGCUUUUAUCGCUGUAAUUUGUAGCCAUACAUCAGUGUGACAGCGACCGGGGCAGGACAGUGUCGGCCCGCUUCCAGACACUGCUGCACUCUUCACUGACACACGCCAAGGGCAGCCAGAUAAUGUAGAUGUAUGAAUAAAACAACACAACUUUGAUGUCGCAGAUCACAAUGCAUCAUUCAUUCACAUCCACGGCGAGACGCGCAACGUGAGGGAUGCUGUUCGUUUACAGCCGCGAGGAGGAGAUAAGGGAUGCAAAGGGAUAAGCGAUGCACUGGUCAUGGCUGGACUUCAAUCAGGAGAGAGCUCCAGUAAAAAAUAUAUAACGCACUAUUUAUGCAGUGGCUCACAUCUGCAUUCAAAAGGAAACUGCCAGGGGGGAGGGCUGCCUAGUGAGAGAGAGAGAGAGAGAGAGAGGGAUGGAGAGAAGGAUGAGAAGGAUAAAAUGUCAUAGCUGGAGUUUGAUAGACGAGGAAGGUCCAUCCACUCCAUCUCUGAGUAUAUGGAGGGAUAGAGAUGAAGGGGAAGCAGGGGGAUGAAAAGGGAGCACAGAGAUAGCCGCGAGGUAGAAGGGUGACCGAACUAGAGAGAGAGAGAGAGAGAGUGAGAGGGAGUAACAGGACCGGACAGGGAGAAAACGGUGCGGGUAAAGCCAAGGGAUUAGGGGAGCAGAGAAAUGGAAGGGGAAAGUUAUAAUGGUUUGUCGGUGCAGAGGAAAUGGAGAGAAAAACGUGCAGGCUGAUGAAGGUGAAG
Non-coding RNA from Xyrichtys novacula (pearly razorfish), 5525 nucleotides. NCBI's taxonomy places the organism in Eukaryota, Metazoa, Chordata, Actinopteri, Labriformes, Labridae. The record is from the annotation of a GenBank genome assembly.